Haliotis rufescens (red abalone) is the source of this 391-nucleotide long non-coding RNA. RefSeq lists it as uncharacterized. NCBI's taxonomy places the organism in Eukaryota, Metazoa, Mollusca, Gastropoda, Lepetellida, Haliotidae. The transcript has 3 exons. The record is from RefSeq and is a predicted model, not a curated record.
AGAAUAUCACAGAUACAUUCACUGCAUGGAGUAUUGCAUGUACAUGAGCCGAUGCAGUCACAGAGACACUUGCAAGAUAUGGCACAGUUGUCACAGCACUUAUGCAAAGGUUGAAUUUGUUGAGGGUUCUGGUCAAAUGACUUCAGUAGCUCAACUCGUCGACAUACGUUGGUUCUGACAUACUGUUUCAUUUCAUCCGAAAUAUUCCGCCUGCCACUGACACACUGUCUACAUUUCAUGAGAAGAGCAUGUGCCUGCUUUUCUGGAUCCCUGCCUGCUCGUCCUGUCUCUUGAAUAUAAUCGUCAACAUUGUUGGCUGGACCAUAGUGGAUGACGGUUUCCACACUUUGUAAGUCAAGUCCCAUGCUGAAUGAUGUUGAGCAAAGGACUA